UCAGAACUUAAAGUGUGAUGUGAAUUAAAUGUCAAAGAGAAUGAUAGGUUCAAUGAAGCUUCACCUAAGUCAAACAUGUUUUUUUACAGAUCUAAGUCCAACAUUUUAGAGUGACUAACAAACAUGAAACGCUAAUCGGGCCCUACAAAACAUUGGGACAUGCACAAUAGGUGAUUGUGAUCUAUAACUAUAUUCAUGUGUGUACACUAAGUCUGGGUGAUAUAGUAGAAGUCAUGUCUGCCAUAUUUUCUUUAUUGCUCCCGAGGAAUGGAGGAACAUGUGUAGCAGUCUCCAUGUUGGCUUCCCAACAUGAGGAUUAUGACCAUUCUCAACACCGAUGCAUUCUUGUUUGUCAUAUGGUAGUGUCGUUGUUGUGUCCGUUGACCCGCCAUGCCAAUAAGUUUCCACCUAAAACGGAUGCACGAAAAUUAAAAAAAUCAAAAGAAACGGCCGAUAGGAGAUAUCAGUUAGAAAGUUACUGCAUAAUUGCGAACUCCCUUUUUGGGUUCGAUCAGGCACUCCAAUCUACAGAAAAUAGUAGCUUAUAGUUAGUUAAGAUUAAAUGACACGUAUAUGUCAGUGAGGAAUAAUCUAUUGGUGGCCAACUGAAUUUACAUCAUUACCUAUCGGCUUACAUGUACAAUCUGCUCCACAGUAGUCUUGAGCUCUCGCUCUUUCUAGCAAAGGGCACAUAAUUUAACAGAACAUAAUCAUAAAACUUAUGUAGAUUUCACCAUUUGAACUACAAAUA
This 751-nucleotide long non-coding RNA is filed under the name Triticum aestivum (bread wheat). RNAcentral's name for it is "long non-coding RNA (TAES_LNC010425)". The record is from RNAcentral. Lineage: Eukaryota; Viridiplantae; Streptophyta; Magnoliopsida; Poales; Poaceae.